UGCUAUUAGAUGAGCCUAUAUUAGAUUAGCUAGUUGGUGGAGUAAUAGCCUACCAAGGCAAUGAUCUAUAGCUGAUCUGAGAGGAUGAUCAGCCACACUGGAACUGAGAUACGGUCCAGACUUCUACGGGAGGCAGCAGUGGGGAAUAUUGGACAAUGGGCGAAAGCCUGAUCCAGCCAUGUCGCAUGAGUGAAGAAGGCCUUUGGGUUGUAAAGCUCUUUUAGUGAGGAAGAUAAUGACGGUACUCACAGAAGAAGUCCUGGCUAACUCCGUGCCAGCAGCCGCGGUAAUACGGAGAGGGCUAGCGUUAUUCGGAAUUAUUGGGCGUAAAGGGCGCGUAGGCUGAUUAAUAAGUUAAAAGUGAAAUCCCGAGGCUUAACCUUGGAAUUGCUUUUAAAACUAUUAAUCUAGAGAUUGAAAGGGGAUAGAGGAAUUCCUGAUGUAGAGGUAAAAUUCGUAAAUAUUAGGAGGAACACCAGUGGCGAAGGCAUCUAUCUGGUUCAAAUCUGACGCUGAGGCGCGAAGGCGUGGGGAGCAAACAGGAUUAGAUACCCUGGUAGUCCACGCUGUAAACGAUGAAUGUUAAAUAUGGGAAGUUU
Molecule: ribosomal RNA, 599 nt
Filed under: Wolbachia endosymbiont of Scirtothrips hansoni
Lineage: Bacteria; Pseudomonadati; Pseudomonadota; Alphaproteobacteria; Rickettsiales; Anaplasmataceae
Description: bacterial SSU rRNA
Rfam family: Bacterial small subunit ribosomal RNA
Source: RNAcentral